RNAcentral lists this transfer RNA (89 nucleotides) under Athalassotoga saccharophila. RNAcentral's name for it is "tRNA-Ser". It matches the Rfam family "tRNA". From Rfam's summary of the family: Transfer RNA (tRNA) molecules are approximately 80 nucleotides in length. Lineage: Bacteria; Thermotogati; Thermotogota; Thermotogae; Mesoaciditogales; Mesoaciditogaceae. The record is from RNAcentral. RNAcentral also lists the same sequence under 3 other names.
GGAGAGAUGGCCGAGCGGUCGAAGGCACUUGCCUGCUAAGCAAGCGUGGGAUUUUCCCACCGUGGGUUCAAAUCCCACUCUCUCCGCCA